AGAAUAUAUAAUUCAAAAAUUUAAAUUUUCGACUGCAUGUAACGAAGGCUGUUACAUGCAGUCGAAAAUUUAAAUUUUUGAAUUAUA
Paramuricea clavata is the source of this 87-nucleotide non-coding RNA. The record is from the annotation of a GenBank genome assembly. NCBI's taxonomy places the organism in Eukaryota, Metazoa, Cnidaria, Anthozoa, Malacalcyonacea, Plexauridae.